This 922-nucleotide long non-coding RNA is filed under the name Homo sapiens (human). Its description in RNAcentral is "non-protein coding lnc-KLF6-5:1". Lineage: Eukaryota; Metazoa; Chordata; Mammalia; Primates; Hominidae. The record is from RNAcentral.
GGGGGAUUCACUGUUAUACUUGGAGGCCAUGUCACCUGAGAGUCAAUGGGCAACGAUCAAAUUUCACCUUGAGCAGAUUCUUUUGUUUGCUUUUUAGUCACAAAUAGCUUGGCCCUAAGUGGUGGCUCCCAUUCUUGUAAGAUGCGUUUAUUCAUCGUGUAAUCACCAGUUCCCUGUAGUGGGGGCGUGGAUGGAGUGUCAGAGGCUCCUGCUGGUCUUUAGGGUGUCUGGCCUCCAGGAAUCCUAGAGUAAAUUGGGAACUACAGCACUCGAUGUUAGAGUUGUCGUGAAGAUUAAAGAAGGUGACGACUGGACAACUCCCAGCCCAAUACCUGAAACUGUACCAGCACCCAGUGAGCACUGCUAUUCCUGUGACUGCUGCACAUUUGCCUUAUCUCAGCAGUAUGCCUGUGUCACUUUUUUGGCACUCUUUUCUCAUGGGUACAUUCAGAGAAGAGGAAUGUUUGUUCACUGGUGAAGAGAACAUCCCGUGUACUAUCGUGUAGAAGUUGUAGUAGACGCUGUGGUCUUUCCAACAACAAACAAACUGCUGGGACAGGACCCAGGAGGUUCCGGAGGAUCAGGAGGUCCACCUGGGAGAAGAGCUGAUCGGCUAGUAGGAGAGCUGGAAAAGCAACAGACACCUACUUAGUCCCUUCCCUGGGGCCCGGCUCCAGUCUGAGCUGUCACGCCACAGCAAAGGCAUCACUUCAGGACAGCAAAGCCCCUGUCUCCCUCCCUUCCAGCUCCUCAGACUUCACCCUGGUAACACGUUUGUUUAAAAAACAUAUUUUUCCCCCUUGUAAAGAAUCUAGGAUACAAGGGGUCAGCCCAGCAGUUUAGGUAUCAAGAAGAAACUGCUCUCGGAGCUAAAGUAAGAAACAGUGCCUGUCUAUAGCGCAAAUAAAGAGUUGGAACAAGA